AACAUCGCGCACCUGCGGGAACCUGCGGAAGGAUCAUUACAGGGUUGCAAAACUCCCUAAACCAUUGUGAACGUUACCUAAACCGUUGCUUCGGCGGGCGGCCCGGGUCCUUCCCGGCGCCCCUCGGCCCUCGCGGGCGCCCGCCGGAGGUAAACCAAACUAUUGCAUUGUAUGGCCUCUCUGAGUCUUCUGUACUGAAUAAGUCAAAACUUUUAACAAUGGAUCUCAGAUCGGAAGAGC
RNAcentral lists this unclassified non-coding RNA (240 nucleotides) under soil metagenome. Its description in RNAcentral is "partial contains 5.8S ribosomal RNA, internal transcribed spacer 2, and large subunit ribosomal RNA". The record is from RNAcentral.